Molecule: long non-coding RNA, 339 nt
Organism: Ricinus communis (castor bean)
Lineage: Eukaryota; Viridiplantae; Streptophyta; Magnoliopsida; Malpighiales; Euphorbiaceae
Exons: 2
Source: RefSeq, a predicted model, not a curated record
GGGAGAGGCGCUGCUGGACGGCGGCGGUAAGCUGGGCAGCACGCAGGCGGUGAGAGGGAGAGGGCAGUCGACGGGGAGAAAGGAGAAAGGGGAGGGAAAAGGAGGAAGGAAAAGAAGGAGAGGGAAGCUUUUCUCUCGCUGAGCCAUUGCAACUCUCUCCAAUUCCGGUGCCAAGUUUACCACCAUUUACCGAUGAAAAUCCGUCUCUAGAUCAGUCGCUAUAUGAGUGGCAAACUAACAAAUUUUGCUUUACCAACAACAUUAUCGAUUGUAAGUCCGUCGCUAUGUUGACUUAAUGAUGGAUUUAACCCCUCUAGCGAAAGUCUCCAUCCAUUAUUA